AUUGAACGCUGGCGGCAGGCCUAACACAUGCAAGUCGAACGGUAACAGGAAACAGCUUGCUGUUUCGCUGACGAGUGGCGGACGGGUGAGUAAUGUCUGGGAAACUGCCUGAUGGAGGGGGAUAACUACUGGAAACGGUAGCUAAUACCGCAUAACGUCGCAAGACCAAAGAGGGGGACCUUCGGGCCUCUUGCCAUCGGAUGUGCCCAGAUGGGAUUAGCUAGUAGGUGGGGUAACGGCUCACCUAGGCGACGAUCCCUAGCUGGUCUGAGAGGAUGACCAGCCACACUGGAACUGAGAUACGGUCCAGACUCCUACGGGAGGCAGCAGUGGGGAAUAUUGCACAAUGGGCGCAAGCCUGAUGCAGCCAUGCCGCGCGUAUGAAGAAGGCCUUCGGGUUGUAAAGUACUUUCAGCGGGGAGGAAGGGAGUAAAGUUAAUACCUUUGCUCAUUGACGUUACCCGCAGAAGAAGCACCGGCUAACUCCGUG
This 490-nucleotide ribosomal RNA is filed under the name uncultured bacterium. RNAcentral's name for it is "partial 16S ribosomal RNA". It matches the Rfam family "Bacterial small subunit ribosomal RNA", at positions 30 to 507 of the family's 1533-position model. The record is from RNAcentral.